Molecule: non-coding RNA, 28 nt
Filed under: Homo sapiens (human)
Lineage: Eukaryota; Metazoa; Chordata; Mammalia; Primates; Hominidae
Source: RNAcentral
UGCAAGGUGAGCGUUAGGACUCAGCAGC